Lontra canadensis (Northern American river otter) is the source of this 240-nucleotide long non-coding RNA. RefSeq lists it as uncharacterized. The record is from RefSeq and is a predicted model, not a curated record. NCBI's taxonomy places the organism in Eukaryota, Metazoa, Chordata, Mammalia, Carnivora, Mustelidae. The transcript has 2 exons.
CUGAUACCUCGCUUACAGAGUUCCCAGCAGCCUCACCAGCUGACUUGUUUGUGCCUAAUUCUUCUCCCGUGCGCCGACUGGAAGUGGCAAUGGAUGAUGGAGGCCAACUUACUAAGUACUGGGCUGCACUUACAGAUAUGCCAGAAAUAAUACUUAAAACCUGUCAAACUUUAAACCUAGUUACCCAUAUGCCUGAACCUGACCAUUGUACCUCUUUAUAGAGCAAAAACUGUUCAGAGG